Molecule: ribosomal RNA, 497 nt
Filed under: uncultured bacterium
Lineage: Bacteria
Description: partial 16S ribosomal RNA
Rfam family: Bacterial small subunit ribosomal RNA
Source: RNAcentral
GAUGAACGCUGGCGGCGUGCCUAAUACAUGCAAGUCGAGCGAACGGACGAGAAGCUUGCUUCUCUGCUGUUAGCGGCGGACGGGUGAUGAACAGGUGGAUAACCUACCUAUAGGACUGGGAUAAGUUCGGGAAACCUUAUCUAAUACCGGAUCAGAUUUUGAACCGCAUGGUUCAAAAGUGAAAGCCGGUUUUGAUGACACUUAUACAUGGAUCCGCGCUGCAUUAGCUAGUUGGUACGGUAACGGCUUACCAAGGCAACGAUGCAUAGCUGACCUGAGAGGGUGAUCGGCCACACUGGAACUGAGACACGGUCCAGACUCCUACGGGAGGCAGCAGUAGGGAAUCUUCCGCAAUGGGCGAAAGCCUGACGGAGCAAUGCCGCGUGAGUGAUGAAGGUCUUCGGAUCGUAAAACUCUGUUAUUAGGGAAGAACAUAUGUGUAAGUAACUGAGCACAUCUUGACGGUACCUAAUCAGAAAGCCACGGCUAACUACGUG